Molecule: long non-coding RNA, 437 nt
Organism: Rhagoletis pomonella (apple maggot)
Lineage: Eukaryota; Metazoa; Arthropoda; Insecta; Diptera; Tephritidae
Exons: 3
Source: RefSeq, a predicted model, not a curated record
AAAUUUGUUUCAAAACUAUUCAGCGCUCGGGAAACACAACAAAUUUACAAAAACAUGUUCGCACGCAUCCAGAGUUUGCUAAAAGUGACAUUCAAAAUGAUGGGCAAAAGAAGCUACCUGGUUGCAGUUCAGCGGUAGAGGUCCAAAGCAAAAUUACUUCUCCCAGUGCUAAUAGCGAUUCAAGCGGGCGUCAAAGCUCUCCGCCAUUGGCAGUUACUCCAAAAACAAGUGGGAAAAAACAGCAGCGGUUGGGGGAUUGUCUAAAAAAACGAGAUCGCAAAUAAAAUGGGCACGGUUUUCAUGAAAAUGUUGAAGUAAAACUUCUUUGCGCUCGGUAAAUCGAAACGCGAGGAAACGUCAAAGCUACAGAAGAAGUUAUAGGACGGUGACCUUUGUUGGGGAGGAUAAGAUUAAGGUUGAGAUUAAACUUAUAACUU